This 196-nucleotide ribosomal RNA is filed under the name uncultured Glomus. RNAcentral's name for it is "partial 18S ribosomal RNA". It matches the Rfam family "Eukaryotic small subunit ribosomal RNA", at positions 569 to 766 of the family's 1831-position model. Lineage: Eukaryota; Fungi; Glomeromycota; Glomeromycetes; Glomerales; Glomeraceae. The record is from RNAcentral.
AGCAGCCGCGGUAAUUCCAGCUCCAAUAGCGUAUAUUAAAGUUGUUGCAGUUAAAAAGCUCGUAGUUGAAUUUCGGGAUCAGUUCGCUGGUCGUGCCUCUGGUAUGUACUGGUAGUUACUGGUUCCUCCCUUCUGACGAACUGUCAUGUCAUUUAUUUGGUGUGGCAGGGAAUCAGGACUGUUACUUUGAAAAAUU